Molecule: non-coding RNA, 83 nt
Organism: Rhodopseudomonas palustris CGA009
Lineage: Bacteria; Pseudomonadati; Pseudomonadota; Alphaproteobacteria; Hyphomicrobiales; Nitrobacteraceae
Source: Rfam
CACGCCUCGCGCGACUGGCGACGUUAGGAUGGAGCACCAUCGGGAAGCGCGGGACGUAUCUGCCGCGCGCCUGGGCAUAGCUU